Molecule: ribosomal RNA, 497 nt
Filed under: uncultured bacterium
Lineage: Bacteria
Description: partial 16S ribosomal RNA
Rfam family: Bacterial small subunit ribosomal RNA
Source: RNAcentral
GAUGAACGCUGGCGGCGUGCCUAAUACAUGCAAGUCGAGCGAACGGACGAGAAGCUUGCUUUUCUGAUGUUAGCGGCGGACGGGUGAGUAACACGUGGAUAACCUACCUAUAAGACUGGGAUAACUUCGGGAAACCGGAGCUAAUACCGGAUAAUAUUUUGAACCGCAUGGUUCAAAAGUGAAAGACGGUCUUGCUGUCACUUAUAGAUGGAUCCGCGCUGCAUUAGCUAGUUGGUAAGGUAACGGCUUACCAAGGCAACGAUGCAUAGCCGACCUGAGAGGGUGAUCGGCCACACUGGAACUGAGACACGGUCCAGACUCCUACGGGAGGCAGCAGUAGGGAAUCUUCCGCAAUGGGCGAAAGCCUGACGGAGCAACGCCGCGUGAGUGAUGAAGGUCUUCGGAUCGUAAAACUCUGUUAUUAGGGAAGAACAUAUGUGUAAGUAACUGUGCACGUCUUGACGGUACCUAAUCAGAAAGCAACGGCUAACUACGUG